Molecule: long non-coding RNA, 515 nt
Filed under: Pan troglodytes (chimpanzee)
Lineage: Eukaryota; Metazoa; Chordata; Mammalia; Primates; Hominidae
Description: lncRNA (ENSPTRG00000054177.1)
Source: RNAcentral
CAGCUCUGAAUUCUGGGUCAACCGUGGACCGACUGUGACCCUUCGGGCAAGUCCCUUCGCCUCUCUGGAGCUGGCUCAUAAGAGGGAAAAGGAACCCCUGUGGGGAGGGUCUAUUUAUCCUGGCGAAGAUUGCCUGAAGUGAUCUUCUAACAGGAGCGUUUCCAGAGGAGGGGCUGGGCUGGGAGAGGUGUGGACAGCUGGGGACCGCUCUGAGCAGUGCAGCCCCGGGCGCCCCACACCACCACGUGGUCUGGGGAGGAAGGUGGGAGCAGACACACAAGAAGGGACCUCUGGGGGUCUGUGGGCCCCUGCCAUGUGGAGGGGUGCCCAGGGACCCUUGGGGACGGGGGGGGGGAACAGGGUGGGUGGCGGCACUGGGGAGGGGGUGAGGCUAUGGCCCAUGCCCUCCUCCUCGCAGAAUGUCUGCCACACACUCUGGUGCUCUGUGGGGACCACCUGUCACUCCAAGCUGGAUGCAGCCGUGGACGGCACCCGGUGUGGGGAGAAUAAGGGUG